Camelus ferus (Wild Bactrian camel) is the source of this 72-nucleotide transfer RNA. It matches the Rfam family "tRNA". Rfam says of the family: Transfer RNA (tRNA) molecules are approximately 80 nucleotides in length. Their secondary structure includes four short double-helical elements and three loops (D, anti-codon, and T loops). Further hydrogen bonds mediate the characteristic L-shaped molecular structure. tRNAs have two regions of fundamental functional importance: the anti-codon, which is responsible for specific mRNA codon recognition, and the 3' end, to which the tRNAs corresponding amino acid is attached (by aminoacyl-tRNA synthetases). tRNAs cope with the degeneracy of the genetic code in two manners: having more than one tRNA (with a specific anti-codon) for a particular amino acid; and 'wobble' base-pairing, i.e. permitting non-standard base-pairing at the 3rd anti-codon position. Lineage: Eukaryota; Metazoa; Chordata; Mammalia; Artiodactyla; Camelidae. The record is from Rfam.
UGGUGUAUAGCUCCGUGGUAGAGGGCAUGCUUAGCAUGCACAAGGUCCUGGGUUCAAUCCCCAGUACCUCUA